RNAcentral lists this transfer RNA (71 nucleotides) under Crassvirales sp. RNAcentral's name for it is "tRNA-His". It matches the Rfam family "tRNA". From Rfam's summary of the family: Transfer RNA (tRNA) molecules are approximately 80 nucleotides in length. Their secondary structure includes four short double-helical elements and three loops (D, anti-codon, and T loops). The record is from RNAcentral. Lineage: Duplodnaviria; Heunggongvirae; Uroviricota; Caudoviricetes; Crassvirales.
GUGUGGAUAGCUUAUCUGGUAAAAGUGCUUCACUGUGAAUGAAGAGAUAGGGUUCGAGUCCCUGCCACACC